Molecule: ribosomal RNA, 494 nt
Filed under: uncultured bacterium
Lineage: Bacteria
Description: partial 16S ribosomal RNA
Rfam family: Bacterial small subunit ribosomal RNA
Source: RNAcentral
GACGAACGCUGGCGGCGUGCUUAACACAUGCAAGUCGAACGGUGAAGCGCCUUCCUUUUUGGUGGGUGUGGAUGAGUGGCGAACGGGUGAGUAACACGUGAGUAACCUGCCCCCUUCUUCUGGAUAACCGCAUGAAAGUGUUGCUAAUACGGGAUAUUCUGGGUCUGUCGCAUGAUGGGUCUGGGAAAGUUAUUGUGUCGGUUGGGGAUGGGCUCGCGGCCUAUCAGCUUGUUGGUGGGGUGAUGGCCUACCAAGGCGGUGACGGGUAGCCGGCCUGAGAGGGUGGACGGUCACGCUGGGACUGAGCCACGGCCCAGACUCCGACGGGAGGCAGCAGGGGGGAAUAUUGCACAAUGGGCGCAAGCCUGAUGCAGCGCCGCCGCGGGAGGGAUGGAGGCCUUCGGGUUGUGAACCUCUUUCGCCAGUGAAGCAGGCCUGCACCGUUUGUGGGUGGGUUGACGGUAGCUGGAUAAGAAGCGCCGGCUAACUACGUG